RNAcentral lists this unclassified non-coding RNA (334 nucleotides) under soil metagenome. RNAcentral describes it as "partial contains 5.8S ribosomal RNA, internal transcribed spacer 2, and large subunit ribosomal RNA". The stretch from base 1 to 120 matches the Rfam family "5.8S ribosomal RNA", at positions 35 to 154 of the family's 154-position model. The record is from RNAcentral.
GAUGAAGAACGUAGCGAAAUGCGAUAAGUAAUGUGAAUUGCAGAAUUCAGUGAAUCAUCGAAUCUUUGAACGCACAUUGCGCCCGCCAGUAUUCUGGCGGGCAUGCCAGUUCGAGCGUCAUUUCAACCAUCAAGCCCUGCUUGCGUUGGGGUCCUGCGGCUGCCCGCAGGCCCUGAAAACCAGUGGCGGGCUCGCUAGUCACACCGAGCGCAGUAAUACAUCUCGCUUUGGGCGUGCGGCGGGUUCUUGCCGUUAAACACCCCCUUUUUACCAAGGUUGACCUCGGAUCAGGUAGGAAUACCCGCUGAACUUAAGCAUAUCAAUAAGCGGAGGA